GACGAACCACACGACCGUUAUUCGGAAUUACUGGGCUUAAAGGGUGCGUAGGCGGCGUAGUAAGUUGGGUGUGAAAUCCCUCGGCUCAACCGAGGAACUGCGCCCAAAACUACUAUGCUUGAGGAAGAUAGAGGUAAGCGGAACUUACGGUGGAGCGGUGAAAUGCGUUGAUAUCGUAAGGAACACCUGUGGCGAAAGCGGCUUACUGGGUCUUUUCUGACGCUGAUGCACGAAAGCCAGGGGAGCAAACGGG
RNAcentral lists this ribosomal RNA (253 nucleotides) under uncultured bacterium. Its description in RNAcentral is "partial 16S ribosomal RNA". It matches the Rfam family "Bacterial small subunit ribosomal RNA", at positions 524 to 776 of the family's 1533-position model. The record is from RNAcentral.